This is a long non-coding RNA of Brienomyrus brachyistius, 2790 nucleotides long. RefSeq lists it as uncharacterized. Lineage: Eukaryota; Metazoa; Chordata; Actinopteri; Osteoglossiformes; Mormyridae. The transcript is spliced from 3 exons. The record is from RefSeq and is a predicted model, not a curated record.
CGGCUAGACCUCCUAAGGUCGGCGGCUUCAUUGCCAUAGUCGGGGUGCCGUUCGAGCCGCGGCCAGAUCGGGCUGAGCUGCCCCCGGUGCACGUCGCCGCAUCAGCCAUCGACCGCUGAAAGGAAGCAGGCGCAGCGCUGGCGUUCGGGAUCGCAGAAGCGCAAACCGGCAGGAGCCGCAGCGGGAUCCGACUGUUACCGUCAGCAGGAAACUAUUGCGAAUCCAGCAGGACAAGCUGCCUGUCCGGCGUUUGGUCCUCGUCUGCUCAUUUAGCGGGUUUCCUGAGACGUACCUGUGCAAGUCCCCUUUUAAGCAUUAAUUUAUUUACUGUGAUCUGACUGUUUUCAUAACACACUUGUUUGGAUGCAUGUCAGAAUGUUGCGGUGUGUCAUUUAGUGUACAUUGAGCUACAAGUACGUUUUUUUUGCUGAAAUCCUAAGCCGCCUGUGUGAAUGUAUCGAUUAAAAGUCAGUUGUCUUUAUGUGUAUCAACAAUUUUCUGAAUUUUCCCCCAGUCUUCCCAUUACCUCGUAUGCUGGCAGCCUCCGAAGCUAAAUCCAAACACGUCCCAUAUGUAGCCUAUACGAAGGCUCACCCUUUACCGUGGAAAACGUCCCACUGAAUGGCGCCUUAAAACGGGGUUGAUUCACACCUAGGUGUCAGAUUACAUCUGCUCUACAACGUGAUGUUUGAGGAAAUGUCGGGAAUGCGGACGUAUUGCAUUAGGCAGUGAUUGGUUUGCCUCUAUCACUGCCAUGCAUUCAAUGAUUCGAGAUGGUCAAUUCUACUAGACAAUCAAGAAGUAUAGCAUUUUUCUGAUUUUGAAGAGACCCUUUAAUGGAUUUCUCUAGUUAAUUUGCAGUUAUUUAAUUAUUUUCAUUUAGUUCACUCAUUUAUAGCUUUCAUAUUUCGUUCUGUCCUUGCUUCUUGUUUCCUCACAUCAUAUUCUUUACGUAUCUCAUCCAACUCGUUCACACCAAGGCCAUCUGACUGCCUGGCUCCUGGAGUCUGUAAGAAGAGCAUAGAUAAACUGUCUGCUUCCCUCAGUGGGGGCAGGCGGACAGUGGGCCGGCCAUGUGCAAACAUCUUUCUGUAAUAUUUUCGUCCUGUCUCAAUAAAUUGCUUAAGCUUAAGGAAACUGCCUCAUCUGUCAAAUCUGAAAGAACGGUCAAACAUUCAAAGAUAAAUUUGGUUAACAAUAUCUGAUCUUUCGCCCAAUACAGAGUUAAAGUCAAAGGUUUACACAGGCCUAGGCCUAUACAGAGGCUAAAAAAAUUUUCAGACUAAUAUUUUUACAACUCCACACUAGGUCUGAGAAAUAUGGAAAAUUGCUUUAUCGUGAUCAUUUAUUUUCUUUUUUGUAUUAGUUGACAUCGAUAAUCAUCUAAAUAACAUCAGUGCCUGACGUCACAAAUGCUCUUCUGGAUGAAUGGGCAGAAUUCCCACAGAUACACGUCAAAAACAUGCGGGAAGGCUUUCCAGAGGAGUGACAACUGUUAUAGUUGCGAAGGGGGGGAACAACUCCAUAUUAAUGCCUAUGGAUUUAGAAUGGGAUGUAAUAAAAGUUCCUGUAGGUGUAAUGGCCAGGUGUGGCAAUACUUUUGUCCAUAUGAUGUGUAUAUAUAAUCCAAGUCGUUAUUUUUUUUACUUUAAGACUCUGUUUUUGCUUACAACUGAAAAAUAAAAAAUGCAAUGAAUGGACUGCAAACUGAAAUCUAAUUUUAAUUAAUCGUCACAAAAUAAACAAAUAAAUAAAUAAACCUUUUGUCAUAAGUUGUAACACUAGAAAACGUGAACAGGAUGGUUUUUGUUGAGUUUUCUCCCUUAACUGUCUUGCAGCUUAUUCAAGAGAACGGGUUUCACAUUGAUGGUGGUUGUCACCUAUUAGGUUUUUAUGAUAUGUCCCGUAUUUCUUCAGCUCGAAAGUGAAAUCCCAGUUGCUGGUUUUGUGACUGUAAGCACUUGCAUUCUGUAUGAUCUACUGCAGUGUUUCCCAAUCCAGUUCUCCCGGACCCACAGACGGUCCAUGUUUUUGCUCCCUGCCAGUUCCCUACUGGAGGGAGCAAAAAUGUGGACUGUCUGAGGGUUCGCGAGAACCGGUUCGGGAAACACUGGUCUACUGGAUAGCAAAGCUUCAAAUCUUGAAAUAAAUAGCAAAGUUUGCAGUAUUUCCGUUUUUGUAAAAUUGUAAACUGCAAAAAGUACUGCUACACCACCUACAUUUUUCCUUGUUUAUCCACAAUAUCUCCAUUUUUGAAAGGUGCAGGGGCUGCUGAGCUGCCACUUUUUUCACCAAAACUUCAAGUUUCCUACGAGGGAGCCCCUAUCUAUUACACAAAUCAUUAGCAUUUUAUGCGUCCAGCUGACUCAACCAACUUUGCAGAAUAUUUGUUGUACGUAGGCUCAGUUCAUAAAAGGCUAACGUGAUUGGUUGGAAUUGCCUUAAUUUCUUUGAUGUAAUAGGCUGAUGUUAAGCAAUGCAAAGGUUUACAUGCACUUUGUUAGUAUUUGGUGACAUUGCCUUUUUAUUGCUUUAACUUGAAUCAAAUGCUUAGCGAAGCCUUCUGCAAGCUUCUCAGAAUAUGUGUGAAUGUUUGCCAAUUCCUCCUGACAGGAUUUGUGUAAGUCCACUUGGGCUGGAUGCAUCCCUGCUGCAACAAGCCCAGUCCACAAAAAACUGCGUGCUUCCGAUCAGGGCUUCAUGGUGGGUACUGCAACAUUAUGCUCUAUCUAAGCCGUUUUGUUACAACUUGGCUUCAGUGUCCUGCCGAAUAAUAAAGUUGCGACCAAA